This 498-nucleotide ribosomal RNA is filed under the name uncultured bacterium. Its description in RNAcentral is "bacterial SSU rRNA". It matches the Rfam family "Bacterial small subunit ribosomal RNA", at positions 899 to 1397 of the family's 1533-position model. The record is from RNAcentral.
ACUCAAAGGAAUUGACGGGGGCCCGCACAAGCGGUGGAGCAUGUGGUUUAAUUCGAUGCAACGCGAAGAACCUUACCAAGGCUUGACAUGGAGAUGACCACUUCAGAGAUGAGGUUUCCCUUCGGGGCAUUUCACACAGGUGGUGCAUGGUUGUCGUCAGCUCGUGUCGUGAGAUGUUGGGUUAAGUCCCGCAACGAGCGCAACCCCUACGUUCAGUUGCCAUCGGUUUAGCCGGGCACACUGGAGGGACUGCCGUGGAUAACACGGAGGAAGGUGGGGAUGAUGUCAAAUCAUCAUGCCCCUUAUGUCUUGGGCUACACACGUGCUACAAUGGUCCUAAACAAAGUGCGGCAAAGCGGCGACGCUAAGCAAACCACGAAACAGGACCCCAGUUCGAAUUGCAGGCUGCAACCCGCCUGCAUGAAGUCGGAAUCGCUAGUAAUCGCGAAUCAGCAUGUCGCGGUGAAUACGUUCCCGGGCCUUGUACACACCGCCCGU